UAGUCCACGCCGUAAACGAUGUCAACUAGCCGUUGGUUCCAUUUAAGGAAUCAGUGGUGCAGCUAACGCAUUAAGUUGACCGCCUGGGGAGUACGGCCGCAAGGCUGAAACUCAAAGGAAUUGACGGGGGCCCGCACAAGCGGUGGAGCAUGUGGUUUAAUUCGAUGCAACGCGAAGAACCUUACCAGCCCUUGACAUCCUCGGAACUUGGUAGAGAUACCUUGGUGCCUUCGGGAAUCGAGUGACAGGUGCUGCAUGGCUGUCGUCAGCUCGUGUCGUGAGAUGUUGGGUUAAGUCCCGCAACGAGCGCAACCCUUGUCCCUAGUUGCCAGCACUUCGGGUGGGAACUCUAGGGAGACUGCCGGUGAUAAACCGGGAGGAAGGUGGGGAUGACGUCAAGUCAUCAUGGCCCUCAUGGGGCUGGGGCUACACACGUGCUACAAUGGUCGGUACAGAGGGUCGCGAACCCGCGAGGGGGAGC
This 481-nucleotide ribosomal RNA is filed under the name uncultured bacterium. RNAcentral describes it as "bacterial SSU rRNA". It matches the Rfam family "Bacterial small subunit ribosomal RNA", at positions 791 to 1268 of the family's 1533-position model. The record is from RNAcentral.